GGCGGCGGCGGCGGCGGCGGCGGCGGCGGAGGCGCGCGACUCGCCGGAACCGCGCCGGCGCUCGCCGGACGACGACGCCUACUCAACAUCAUCAAAAAAAUCAAAGAAAUCUCGGGAGCCCUCAUUAUCGCCACCACGAGAAAAGAGAUCUCGAUAUAGCGAAAGAAAAUCGCGGUCUCGCUCGAGGUCACGGGAGAGGGAGCGUUCGCGGGAGCGGGAGCGGGAGAGGUCGCGGGAGCGGGAGCGUCGGCGCCGCUCGCCCGCCACGCCGCCCGCCCACCACCACCGCAAACAUCCCAAGCACGCUAAGUACAAGUACUGAGCCCGCCCGAGAGAAACGACGUUGAGCCAGCGUUCAUUGUAAAUAUAUUCUGUCGACUGA
Long non-coding RNA from Ostrinia nubilalis (European corn borer), 382 nucleotides. RefSeq lists it as uncharacterized. The transcript is spliced from 3 exons. NCBI's taxonomy places the organism in Eukaryota, Metazoa, Arthropoda, Insecta, Lepidoptera, Crambidae. The record is from RefSeq and is a predicted model, not a curated record.